CAAAUUAUAGUUUAUAAAAACAUUAAUUUUGGAUAUUAAAAAAAUAAUAAAUUAUUAUUAAUUUGA
RNAcentral lists this transfer RNA (66 nucleotides) under Aulacus sinensis. RNAcentral describes it as "tRNA-Pro". Lineage: Eukaryota; Metazoa; Arthropoda; Insecta; Hymenoptera; Aulacidae. The record is from RNAcentral.